AUUGAACGCUGGCGGCACGCUUAACACAUGCAAGUCGAGCGGUAACAUGGUUUGUAGCAAUACAAACUGAUGACGAGCGGCGGACGGGUGAGUAACACGUAGGAACUUGCCAAUAGAGGGGGACAACCAAGGGAAACUUUGGCUAAUACCGCAUAUACUCGAGAGAGGAAAGCUGCCGCAAGGUGGCGCUAUUGGAGAGGCCUGCGUCUGAUUAGCUAGUUGGUGAGGUAAAGGCUCACCAAGGCGAUGAUCAGUAACUGGUCUGAGAGGACGACCAGGCACACUGGGACUGGGACACGGCCCAGACUCCUACGGGAGGCAGCAGUGGGGAAUAUUGGACAAUGGGCGGAAGCCUGAUCUAGCCAUGCCGCGUGUGUGAAGAAGGCCUUUUGGUUGUAAAGCACUUUAAGCGAGGAGGAGGCUACUUAGAUUAAUACUCUGGGAUAGUGGACGUUACUCGCAGAAUAAGCACCGGCUAACUCUGUGCCAGCCGCCGCCGUAA
RNAcentral lists this ribosomal RNA (502 nucleotides) under uncultured bacterium. RNAcentral's name for it is "partial 16S ribosomal RNA". It matches the Rfam family "Bacterial small subunit ribosomal RNA", at positions 30 to 523 of the family's 1533-position model. The record is from RNAcentral.